RNAcentral lists this ribosomal RNA (465 nucleotides) under Vreelandella stevensii. RNAcentral's name for it is "partial 16S ribosomal RNA". It matches the Rfam family "Bacterial small subunit ribosomal RNA", at positions 338 to 795 of the family's 1533-position model. The record is from RNAcentral. Lineage: Bacteria; Pseudomonadati; Pseudomonadota; Gammaproteobacteria; Oceanospirillales; Halomonadaceae.
CCUACGGGGGGCAGCAGUGGGGAAUAUUGGACAAUGGGGGGAACCCUGAUCCAGCCAUGCCGCGUGUGUGAAGAAGACCCUCGGGUUGUAAAGCACUUUCAGUGAGGAAGAACGCCUGGUGGUUAAUACCCAUCAGGAAAGACAUCACUCACAGAAGAAGCACCGGCUAACUCCGUGCCAGCAGCCGCGGUAAUACGGAGGGUGCGAGCGUUAAUCGGAAUUACUGGACGUAAAGCGCGCGUAGGUGGCUUGAUAAGCCGGUUGUGAAAGCCCCGGGCUCAACCUGGGAACGGCAUCCGGAACUGUCAAGCUAGAGUGCAGGAGAGGAAGGUAGAAUUCCCGGUGUAGCGGUGAAAUGCGUAGAGAUCGGGAGGAAUACCAGUGGCGAAGGCGGCCUUCUGGACUGACACUGACACUGAGGUGCGAAAGCGUGGGUAGCAAACAGGAUUAGAUACCCUUGUAGUC